Molecule: ribosomal RNA, 486 nt
Filed under: uncultured bacterium
Lineage: Bacteria
Description: partial 16S ribosomal RNA
Rfam family: Bacterial small subunit ribosomal RNA
Source: RNAcentral
AUUGAACGCUGGCGGCAUGCCUUACACAUGCAAGUCGAACGGCAGCACGGGUGCUUGCACCUGGUGGCGAGUGGCGAACGGGUGAGUAAUACAUCGGAACAUGUCCUGUAGUGGGGGAUAGCCCGGCUAAAGCCGGAUUAAUACCGCAUACGAUCUACGGAUGAAAGCGUGGGACCUUCGUGCCUCGCGCUAUAGGGUUGGCCGAUGGCUGAUUAGCUAGUUGGUGGGGUAAAGGCCUACCAAGGCGACGAUCAGUAGCUGGUCUGAGAGGACGACCAGCCACACUGGGACUGAGACACGGCCGAGACUCCUACGGGAGGAAGCAGUGGGGAAUUUUGGACAAGGGGGGAAAGCCUGAUCCAGCAAUGCCGCGUGUGUGAAGAAGGCCUUCGGGUUGUAAAGCACUUUUGUCCGGAAAGAAAUCCUUGGCCCUAAUACGGUCGGGGGAUGACGGUACCGGAAGAAUAAGCACCGGCUAACUACGUG